RNAcentral lists this ribosomal RNA (524 nucleotides) under uncultured Acaulospora. Its description in RNAcentral is "SSU rRNA". It matches the Rfam family "Eukaryotic small subunit ribosomal RNA", at positions 569 to 1092 of the family's 1831-position model. Lineage: Eukaryota; Fungi; Glomeromycota; Glomeromycetes; Diversisporales; Acaulosporaceae. The record is from RNAcentral.
AGCAGCCGCGGUAAUUCCAGCUCCAAUAGCGUAUAUUAAAGUUGUUGCAGUUAAAAAGCUCGUAGUUGAAUUUCGGGGUCUGUCCAUCGGUCGGGCUUUACGGUCCGUACUGGUGAGAUGGGUUCCUACCUUCUGAAUAACCGGCAUGCCAUUUAGUUGGUGCGCCGGGGAAGCAGAGCUAUUACCUUGAAAAAAUUAGAGUGCUUAAAGCAGGCUAGUGCUUGAAUAGAUUAGCAUGGAAUAAUAAAAUAGGACGGCAUGGUUCUAUUUUGCUGGUUUCUAGGAUCACCGUAAUGAUUAAUAGGGAUAGUUGGGGGCAUUAGUAUUCAAUUGUCAGAGGUGAAAUUCUUGGAUUUAUUGAAGACUAACUUCUGCGAAAGCAUUUGCCAAGGAUGUUUUCAUUAAUCAAGAACGAAAGUUAGGGGAUCGAAGACGAUCAGAUACCGUCGUAGUCUUAACCAUAAACUAUGCCGACUAGGGAUCGGACGAUGUUAAUUUUUUAAUGACUCGUUCGGCGCCUUACG